This is a long non-coding RNA of Oreochromis aureus, 908 nucleotides long. The record is from Ensembl. NCBI's taxonomy places the organism in Eukaryota, Metazoa, Chordata, Actinopteri, Cichliformes, Cichlidae.
ACACUUUUUACGUAGCCCGGCUGCUCGAGUUUUUUUUGCUGGUUUACCGCGACUGACGACUCGUUUAAUUAAGGUAAAUACAACCAUGUCACUGUUAUAAAACAAGACGCACAGCUUAUCAUCUUAUAGUUUUAAAAUCACUUUGUUGUUAAUUCGUUAGCUAGAUUAGCCGCUAGCAUACGCGCUGUGUUGGAGGCUUGUUGCUAGCUAGUUAGCGAUGCUACACACCUGCUACUCUAAUAGUCUGUGUUAUUGAAGGAUUCAGCACUUAUGUUUGUUUUUAUCCAUUUUUAGACAGCGAUGAGAUCAUCUGCACACUCUACAGAAGCCCAGAGUUACUGUUAAUAUCAAAAAUAUCAUGCUGUCCUUUGAGAUUUUAACAUAAGACUGUGAGUGUCAUGGAUCUAAAACUGUUUAAAUCUUCAGAGCCCUCUACAGCCUGGUAACAUGGAAACUUUAAAAACAUCAGCAGAACGUUUCAGUAGUGUAGUCUAAUUUGUUCUUUUCAUUUAAUAAUAGAGUCCAUAUUAUAUCCACAGCUACAUUCACCCUGGAGAGAAACUAGUGAGGGAGACCAUCAGGACCAAGCUGGGUUUCCUGGGUCCAGAGGUUCGGAGAAACUUCUUCCUUUUCUUUCAUCACAGCUGUCCUGUGCCAGAUGUUCUGUUGACCGACUGAGAGAGACUUCAUUUAAGAAACACCAGGAAGACUGAAGCUCAUCGCAUUGAUCAAGCAGGAUACUCCCCAGAGGCUCCAGACUUUUACAUAAAGAUAUUAUAUUCAGUCCUGUAGAAAGUUAUAUAUUUAAAAAUAUAUGAUCCUCUCUGGUUACUCUGGUAUGAAUAACUCUGAAUCACUUUAUGUUAAAUAACACAUUAUCUGCAAAAAACUGUGAAAGAAUUCCAGAU